RNAcentral lists this ribosomal RNA (484 nucleotides) under uncultured bacterium. Its description in RNAcentral is "partial 16S ribosomal RNA". It matches the Rfam family "Bacterial small subunit ribosomal RNA", at positions 29 to 523 of the family's 1533-position model. The record is from RNAcentral.
AGUGAACGCUGGCGGCGUGCUUAACACAUGCAAGUCGAACGAGAACGGGUUAUAGCUUGCUAUAAUUGUCAGCUAAGUGGCGCACGGGUGAGUAAUGUAUAGGUAAUAUGCCUCUUACUAAGGGAUAACAAUUGGAAACGAUUGCUAAUACCUUAUACUCCUUAUUAACAGAAGUUAAUAAGGGAAAGAUUUAUUGGUAAGAGAUUAGCCUGUAUUGUAUCAGUUAGUUGGUGUGGUAAUGGCUUACCAAGACUAUGACACAUAAAUGGUUUGAGAGGAUGAUCAGUCACACUGGAACUGAGACACGGUACAGACUCCUACGGGAGGCAGCAGUGGGGAAUAUUGCACAAUGGACGAAAGUCUGAUGCAGCAAGGCCGCGUGGAGGAUGACACAUUUCGGUGCGUAAACUCCUUUUAUAUGAGAAGAUAAUGACGGUAUUAUAUGAAUAAGCACCGGCUAACUCCGUGCCAGCCGCCGCCGUAA